GAUGAACGCUGGCGGCGUGCCUAAUACAUGCAAGUCGAGCGAACAGAUGAGGAGCUUGCUACUCUGACGUUAGCGGCGGACGGGUGAGUAACACGUGGAUAACCUACCUAUAAGACUGGGAUAACUUCGGGAAACCGGAGCUAAUACCGGAUAAUAUAUUGAACCGCAUGGUUCAAUAGUGAAAGACGGUUUUGCUGUCACUUAUAGAUGGAUCCGCGCCGCAUUAGCUAGUUGGUAAGGUAACGGCUUACCAAGGCAACGAUGCGUAGCCGACCUGAGAGGGUGAUCGGCCACACUGGAACUGAGACACGGUCCAGACUCCUACGGGAGGCAGCAGUAGGGAAUCUUCCGCAAUGGGCGAAAGCCUGACGGAGCAACGCCGCGUGAGUGAUGAAGGUCUUCGGAUCGUAAAACUCUGUUAUUAGGGAAGAACAAAUGUGUAAGUAACUAUGCACGUCUUGACGGUACCUAAUCAGAAAGCCACGGCUAACUACGUG
Molecule: ribosomal RNA, 497 nt
Filed under: uncultured bacterium
Lineage: Bacteria
Description: partial 16S ribosomal RNA
Rfam family: Bacterial small subunit ribosomal RNA
Source: RNAcentral